RNAcentral lists this ribosomal RNA (413 nucleotides) under Granulomelon adcockianum. RNAcentral describes it as "Pleuroxia adcockiana partial 16S ribosomal RNA". It matches the Rfam family "Bacterial large subunit ribosomal RNA", at positions 1808 to 2584 of the family's 2925-position model. The record is from RNAcentral. Lineage: Eukaryota; Metazoa; Mollusca; Gastropoda; Stylommatophora; Camaenidae.
CAAAAACAUAGCUACUAGCAUAUACUAGUAGUCACUUCUGCUCAAUGAAUUUUUAAAUAGCCGCAGUACCUUGACUGUGCAAAGGUAGCAUAAUCAAUUGGCUUAUAAUUGAAGUCUAGAAUGAAUGAAAAUAUGUAGGAUGACUGUAUCUAUAAUAUAUUUUGAAAUUAUUUAAUGGGUGCAAAUUCUCAUAUAUAAUUAAUAGACGAGAAGACCCUAGAAAUUUUAACGAAAAAGUUCAUUUUUGUUUUUGUUGGGGCAACAAAGUAACAGGUAAUUUACUUAAUAAACAAGAAAUUUGUUAGUAAGAUGAAAUUACUCUAGGGAUAACAGCGUAAUAUUAAAAUGUUUGCGACCUCGAUGUUGGAUUAGGAAGCGACGGCUUAGAAGGUCCGCAGUUGUGCUCUGUUCGA